AUGAACCGGAAGCCGGGUUA
This 20-nucleotide small nuclear RNA is filed under the name Arabidopsis thaliana (thale cress). RNAcentral's name for it is "snRNA_18430". The record is from RNAcentral. Lineage: Eukaryota; Viridiplantae; Streptophyta; Magnoliopsida; Brassicales; Brassicaceae.